Non-coding RNA from Podarcis lilfordi (Lilford's wall lizard), 270 nucleotides. The record is from the annotation of a GenBank genome assembly. Lineage: Eukaryota; Metazoa; Chordata; Lepidosauria; Squamata; Lacertidae.
GUCACGAGUCAUUAUUCCACUCGGGUGUUGCCUGGGGUUGGGGGGUCUCUGCCUGGGCACACAAAUAAGGGCUGGUUCUCCACGUGUAAAGAAAAAGUUAACUUGCCACAGCUAUUUAGAAGGUUUGCAGUUAAAGUCUGACAGCUGCAAGGUCACUAUUGCCCCACCUGUAGUUACUACAGCUUAGCUCCUUGUUAUAAUUCCUUGCCUGCUUCAUGUCAGUCUCUUGCUCUGCCUCAGCAGUUAUCCUAAUAAAGCUUUGGAUACUUU